This 373-nucleotide ribosomal RNA is filed under the name uncultured bacterium. Its description in RNAcentral is "bacterial SSU rRNA". It matches the Rfam family "Bacterial small subunit ribosomal RNA", at positions 524 to 898 of the family's 1533-position model. The record is from RNAcentral.
UACGAAUGGAGCGAGCGUUGUUCGGAAUCACUGGGCGUAAAGGGUGCGCAGGCGGUCAUGAAAGUCAGAAGUGAAAUCCCAGGGCUUAACCCUGGAAUGGCUUUUGAAACUCCAUGACUAGAGUACUGGAGAGGUUAGCGGAAUUCCAAGUGUAGCAGUGAAAUGCGUAGAUAUUUGGAGGAACACCAAUGGCGUAGGCAGCUAACUGGACAGUAACUGACGCUCAUGCACGAAAGCGUGGGGAUCAAACAGGAUUAGAUACCCUGGUAGUCCACGCCCUAAACGAUGUGUGCUAGUUGUCGGGCCCUUAGGGUUCGGUGACGCAGCUAACGCUUUAAGCACACCGCCUGGGGAGUACGGUCGCAAGAUUAAA